RNAcentral lists this ribosomal RNA (252 nucleotides) under uncultured prokaryote. RNAcentral's name for it is "partial 16S rRNA". It matches the Rfam family "Archaeal small subunit ribosomal RNA", at positions 475 to 726 of the family's 1478-position model. The record is from RNAcentral.
ACCGGCAGCUCAAGUGGUGGCCAUUUUUAUUGGGCCUAAAGCGUUCGUAGCCGGUUUGAUAAGUCUCUGGUGAAAUCCCGCAGCUUAACUGUGGGACUUGCUGGAGAUACUAUUAGACUUGAGGUCGGGAGAGGUUAGGGGUACUCCCAGGGUAGGGGUGAAAGGAUAUAAGCCUGGGAGGACAACCUAUGGCGAGGGCGGCUAACGGGAACAAACCUGACGGUGGUUAACGAGAGUCAGUGGUGUGCAUCG